CCUAAAAUAUACGCUUUUAAAAUUUAGAGUAACCGACCGUCCCUAGCGCAAAUGGCAAAGGACUUGUUGAUUGGUAUCCGAGGUUCCAAAUUCGAAUCUUAGUUGAUUCAUAUUUCCAGCUAAGUUUAUUUCUAAAUGAAAUAAACAAAGCGGGUAGCAUGCUACCUAUCUCUCUCAAAAAAAAAAAAAAAAAAAUUUA
RNAcentral lists this long non-coding RNA (199 nucleotides) under Ananas comosus (pineapple). Its description in RNAcentral is "long non-coding RNA (ACOM_LNC007800)". The record is from RNAcentral. Lineage: Eukaryota; Viridiplantae; Streptophyta; Magnoliopsida; Poales; Bromeliaceae.